Molecule: long non-coding RNA, 396 nt
Filed under: Homo sapiens (human)
Lineage: Eukaryota; Metazoa; Chordata; Mammalia; Primates; Hominidae
Description: HSALNT0299447
Source: RNAcentral
ACACACAGACAAGGUGGUGGGGUGAUGGUGUCAUCUCCAAGUCCCUCUCCUCAUUUAGCUUUUCUGAUAUUUGAACCGUAUCUUAUCUAUGGAUACAUUACUGGUUCAGUCUCUGAAGCGGGGGCGGCUAUGAUGACUUGGCCUUCCUCAGGACAUUCCUUGUUAAUACAAGUGAACAGUGAGACGAUUACGUUGAUUUCACUCUCAACUCAGUGAAAGAAGUAAACACCCGGAAGCUCGUUAGAAACGUAGAACCUCCGCCUCCACCCCAGUCCUAAUGAAUCAGACUGCAUUUUAACAGGAUCCCGGGGGAAUCAGACACGCAUUGAGGAAAGAUGAUGUGAAGAGACACAGAGAGAAGACUUCCAUCUACAAGCCAUGGAGAGGGACCCGGAA